UACGAAGGGUGCAAGCGUUACUCGGAAUUACUGGGCGUAAAGCGUGCGUAGGUGGUUCGUUAAGUCUGUCGUGAAAGCCCCGGGCUCAACCCGGGAGGGUCGUGGCGAACUGGGAGGCUUGAGGCCGGUAGAGGUGGGUGGAACUCCUGGUGGAGUGGUGAAAUGCGUAGAGAUCAGGAAGAACACCCGUGGCGAAGGCGGCCCACUGGGCCGGUACUGACGCUGAGGCACGAAGGCGUGGGGAGCGAACGGG
Molecule: ribosomal RNA, 253 nt
Filed under: uncultured bacterium
Lineage: Bacteria
Description: partial 16S ribosomal RNA
Rfam family: Bacterial small subunit ribosomal RNA
Source: RNAcentral